GGAUCAAACGAUGAAAGGAAGCAAAUCAAGCGGUGCUACGAGGAAAGCCGAUACCAAGUUGGCUGUAAAGAAGACUGCAGCCAAGGGGAAAGCAGCUAAGGAUCCCAAUAAACCCAAGAGACCCGCUAGCGCCUUCUUUGUGUUCAUGGAGGACUUUAGAAAGCAGUUCAAAGAAGAUCACCCUGACAACAAAUCUGUUGCUGCUGUAAGUGAU
Lactuca sativa (garden lettuce) is the source of this 214-nucleotide long non-coding RNA. RefSeq lists it as uncharacterized. Lineage: Eukaryota; Viridiplantae; Streptophyta; Magnoliopsida; Asterales; Asteraceae. The record is from RefSeq and is a predicted model, not a curated record.